RNAcentral lists this ribosomal RNA (595 nucleotides) under uncultured Bacteroidota bacterium. RNAcentral describes it as "bacterial SSU rRNA". It matches the Rfam family "Bacterial small subunit ribosomal RNA", at positions 122 to 715 of the family's 1533-position model. The record is from RNAcentral. Lineage: Bacteria; Pseudomonadati; Bacteroidota.
CAACCUGCCCACCACUUGGGGAUAACCUUACGAAAGUAAGACUAAUACCCAAUGAUAUCUCUNNNAGACAUCUGAAAGAGAUUAAAGAUUUAUCGGUGAUGGAUGGGGAUGCGUCUGAUUAGCUUGUUGGCGGGGUAACGGCCCACCAAGGCGACGAUCAGUAGGGGUUCUGAGAGGAAGGUCCCCCACAUUGGAACUGAGACACGGUCCAAACUCCUACGGGAGGCAGCAGUGAGGAAUAUUGGUCAAUGGACGAGAGUCUGAACCAGCCAAGUAGCGUGCAGGAUGACGGCCCUAUGGGUUGUAAACUGCUUUUAUAAGGGAAUAAAGUGAGUCUCGUGAGACUUUUUGCAUGUACCUUAUGAAUAAGGACCGGCUAAUUCCGUGCCAGCAGCCGCGGUAAUACGGAAGGUCCGGGCGUUAUCCGGAUUUAUUGGGUUUAAAGGGAGCGUAGGCCGGAGAUUAAGCGUGUUGCGAAAUGUAGAUGCUCAACAUCUGCACUGCAGCGCGAACUGGUUUCCUUGAGUACGCACAAAGUGGGCGGAAUUCGUGGUGUAGCGGUGAAAUGCUUAGAUAUCACGAAGAACUCCGAUUG